UACGUAGGCAACGAGCGUUGUUCGGAGUUACUGGGCGUAAAGAGUGCGUAGGCGGUUUUCUAAGUUUGGUGUGAAAUCUCCCGGCUUAACUGGGAGGGUGCGCCGAAGACUGGAAGGCUUGAGUAUGGGAGAGGUAAGCGGAAUUCCUGGUGUAGCGGUGAAAUGCGUAGAUAUCAGGAGGAACACCUGCGGUGUAGACGGCUUACUGGACCAUAACUGACGCUGAGGCACGAAAGCGUGGGUAGCAAACAGG
This 253-nucleotide ribosomal RNA is filed under the name uncultured bacterium. Its description in RNAcentral is "partial 16S ribosomal RNA". It matches the Rfam family "Bacterial small subunit ribosomal RNA", at positions 524 to 776 of the family's 1533-position model. The record is from RNAcentral.